Long non-coding RNA from Pseudopodoces humilis (Tibetan ground-tit), 423 nucleotides. RefSeq lists it as uncharacterized. Lineage: Eukaryota; Metazoa; Chordata; Aves; Passeriformes; Paridae. The record is from RefSeq and is a predicted model, not a curated record.
UCUCGUAUACAGAACCAGUGGCAGGCUCAGAAAAGCCUCAGAGAAAGCUGGCUGUUCUGAGAAGCAAUUCCCAUUGUUGCAUUCGCUAAAACUUCUGGGCCCCUGAGGUAUACAUGGGAGUGUCUGAGUUGUGACAGAAAGGAGUGGGUGUUAACCAUCACCAGAGCUGGAUCAGCACAGAAACAUGGAUCUGCUGUGGUGGCCGGUGCUGCAAUCCAGGGAAAAGGGAAAGCUGCCUUGUGGUGGUGGAGGGGCUUUUUCCUGUCAGAGGAACUCGUUUCUUCUGCCGCGAGCGAGGAUCUCCGGAGAGAAAGCAAGCUGAAAACGUCUUUGAGCAGCCUCUUCUGUUCCGCCCUCCUGGUGCCGCUUGAAAAUGAGAAGAAAAGGGUGGGGGGGGUGGAAGAUUAAAAAAAAUAAUAAAGA